AGAACCCGAUCCCAUCUCGAACUCGGCCGUUAAACGCACCAGCGCCCAUGGUACUGUGUCUCAAGGCACGGGAGAGUCGGUCGCCGCCA
This 89-nucleotide ribosomal RNA is filed under the name Methylobacterium thuringiense. The record is from RNAcentral. Lineage: Bacteria; Pseudomonadati; Pseudomonadota; Alphaproteobacteria; Hyphomicrobiales; Methylobacteriaceae.